CUCGUAGGCGGUCUUAAAAGUCAGGUGUGAAAUUAGCAGGCUCAACCUGCUAAGGUCAUCUGAAACUUUAAGACUUGAGGAUAGAAGAGGAAAGUGGAAUUCCUGGUGUAGCGGUGAAAUGCGUAGAUAUCGGGAGGAACACCAGUGGCGAAGGCGGCUUUCUGGUCUAUCUCUGACGUUGAGGAGCGAAAGCUAGGGAGCAAACG
Molecule: ribosomal RNA, 206 nt
Filed under: uncultured bacterium
Lineage: Bacteria
Description: partial 16S ribosomal RNA
Rfam family: Bacterial small subunit ribosomal RNA
Source: RNAcentral